UCGAAUAAAGAUUCCGAAGGUGCCCGGGCGCCGAGAGCUCCCGGGUCAAAAGGGAAGCGCCUUAAAAAGCCACGGUCCCUCGGGGGAAAACCCCCAGCCACUGUCGGCGCUGCCAUCGGCGGUCCGCCUCACCCGCGGACCGUCCCUCCGCAGGCCACUGUCCCGGUCGAACCGGGAUGGGAAGGCCUCGGACGGAUGCGCCAGUCAGGAAACCUGCCUUCGGAAAAAACAACAC
Molecule: non-coding RNA, 235 nt
Filed under: Elusimicrobiota bacterium
Lineage: Bacteria; Pseudomonadati; Elusimicrobiota
Source: RNAcentral